UUUUCUUGUUGUCACUAAGGUACCUCACUGAACGAAUCAGGACGCCCAACUAACGGGGAGGACAAAAAAAGGACUGGAGAACACCAUUAAAGAAUUGAAGGGUGUAGCCAGUAGUGUCACUGAAUGACUUGCCACCGAAGGACCACUCGCCCCUGCAGGCCGCCCAGGAAGAUUGCGUGCAUGAGUGAGGUGGAGGACUUCAGCGGGAGCUUAUGGAACACGGCCUGAGCUGUGCACAGGCCCGUCGCCAAGGGGAGGGGGGGGGUUGGGGCCUGGUGGGGCCGGGCCCCCCUCGGCGAGCAAUUGGCCCCCCAAACGGUGGGUCCCCCUUGUUGGUACUAUUUGGCCCCUCCUGAUGCUCGGGGCUGGCGACGGGCCUGGCUGUGCACAAAACAUACAGGUUCCAAUCUGAAGUCCAUCCAGAUGAUCCUUAAUAAGACAGCAGACGGUACAGGCAUCAACUCCAACACCCUAGCCUUACAGAUGAAGGGCCAUCCUGAGCUGAGGGACUAGCUUCAUGUCGUCACCUCAUGGGGGCCUUUGCCUGUCUACCCUGGGGUGGUCAACUCAGAAUUACCUGAGGAUCUCAAGACAUCUAUCACCAGGCAUCUUCUCAACAUGCAUCUCGACCCCAAAUGGCAAGCUCAACUGAACCAAUACAUGGUGUCCAAA
Molecule: long non-coding RNA, 672 nt
Organism: Patiria miniata (bat star)
Lineage: Eukaryota; Metazoa; Echinodermata; Asteroidea; Valvatida; Asterinidae
Exons: 4
Source: RefSeq, a predicted model, not a curated record